This 2216-nucleotide long non-coding RNA is filed under the name Stylophora pistillata. RNAcentral's name for it is "uncharacterized LOC111330741". The record is from RNAcentral. Lineage: Eukaryota; Metazoa; Cnidaria; Anthozoa; Scleractinia; Pocilloporidae.
AAACAGACCUUCCUGUUUAACAGCUCAAUGAUAAUUUUGGAGACGAUGGCCAGAAAAAACCGGCACCUAAAGUUCCGUAGUGAGCAAGGAAAAUCGUGUUUGCAUAACAGCUUUCAGAAUUGCCACUUGGAAAGGAGAAAAUUGAAGAAGGCCAACCACCUAGAUCCAGGUUCACAAAAAUGCUGCCUGCAGUUUAUCCCAUGUUUACAAGACUUAUUCACAUCAAGACUCAAUCACAGAAUUAUUCACAUCAAGAGGCUACACAGAGCCUAUAUUCUGGCCGGAUUAGGGGUUCAGAGGGAACUGAUUGAACGCCUUGCUGUUUUAAGCAAAAUCGCUGUUGAGUGGUUAUCAUUCUUUGUUAACAUGAAGAGUUAUGGAGAUUAAGACUUUGGUAAGUUGAUGCCAUGACAAAUUGGAAAUACUAAAAUCGUUGGAUGAAAUGCGGGAACGAACGUAAGUACGCGGCAAAGUCAACAGAAAAAGAAUAAGUCACUUUGUAACUUAGCUCGAAUCGCGGAGAAAUCGAGAAUGAUGGUAACCAUCCAGUACUAAACAAAAUCCUGCGUUUAUCAAAUUACCGGUUGCAAAAUUCAUCAAAUUUUGACGCUGCGAUUCAAAUCUUCCUCUGCCUACACGAGCCAAAUUCCCCUCUUUUCCAUUGCUAUAUCUCGUUUCGCCUCUCAGUCGCUCAAUAAAUAUUUGCAUUUGAACGCGAUGAUCUUUGUUUACAAGGUUUUCUCCCGCUUACAUCUAAUGAAAAACUUCUGAAGUUUUCAGCCUCGGAACGGUAUAUCACAGAAGGCAAGUUUUUUAAUCAAUCAGCCAAUAAACUUCAACUGUUCCUACGGUUCUUGUUUUUCAUCAGUACAUUAUUCAUCAGUACAUCAGUUUUUUCGUCCGAUUAGAGUGAUCUACUGAUCGAUCUAAUCGUUAACGCUUACCUAAGAUAAUCGAAUUAAUCAAUCGAAUUUAAUCAAUCAGUCAAUAAACUUCAACGAUUCCCAUGGUUGUUGUUUUUCAUCAGUACGUUAACAAUUCAAGCGAUUCACAGUAUUAGGUUGGUGCAUAUUAAAUAAAUAUUUUCAAGUUUACUCGAAAGAUAAGUAUAAACUGUAACAAGCCUGGUUAUCGUUUAUGUGCGGCUCAGCACUUCAAGCCUGACUGACACUCGGUGCGGAAACUCAACCUCGUUCCCACGCUAUUUCCACCACAUUACUUUACACCAAUAAAAAAAACUGCCACACAGCGCCUAUUGUCCAUUUUCUUGAACAGGAAAACCAACCGAAUAUCUGACUCGGGCCCUUUAUGACCAGAAUAAUAAGUUUACCCUUGUAAGAAAUGUUUUGACUGCUUGACAUGUUGUGUUACAGUUUUAAUAAUCGUUACUUUGCUUUCAUGUUGCUGAGUGAUUGAAGGAUCGAAUUUCGAAUCAUGUGAUAAGUAGAUGGGCUUUUAGAAGCACGUAGGGAGUAGCUGUUAAGAUUAUUAAAAACGUUUAAUUCUACAACGUGAGUCUUCAGUGUCACAGGGAAUUGGGGCAGGCAAUUAGAUUCCCCACAUCUUUAGCAGAGAUGCAGAAAAAAAAAACCUGGUUCCUUGCACAGUAUCUGGUUCCAACAAAACAAUUUCUGCACCGGCAUAUUCUCAAGAAUCUGGCUCCCAGCUUCUUCAAUGCCGAGUUUUAUCAAAGGUAAAUUCAACUUGGUUCAAGAUGGAAUGGCUUGUCCAAAUUGCGACGGUAAACCAAGUUCACGUAUCGAGCAAAUGGCCAAGAUCAGAAUAACAGCGAACAGUAAGCGAAACAGAUGAUUUAUCGCUGAAACUACAGGACCCUACAGCAUACCUACCCUAAACAUUGCAAAACCGGCAAAGGCUACGAAAAUUCAUUAGUACCAGCGUAAUAUUUCAAAUUAAGUGACAAACAGACAGCAUUCUAUACUCCUUUUGUAGUAGCCACGACCAGCAAUUUCACGAAAUCUACAGUUGAAGCCAUAACUCAUUCAAUCAUAUCGGGAUGGAAAUGAUGUAGGAUCCCAGGAUCUGUUAGUUCAUGUAGUUUUUGGCGCAUGUCUUAUUAAAUCUUCGUUUUAAAAUUAAGCCGGAAUACUUUUCCAAGGGAGUGGUCUGUUUUCGUUGGCUAGAAAAGCGUCACUUGAAUCUUUAAUAUUGUCGUUUCAUUUCGGAUGUCGUAGGAAAUGAUUAAUGUCUUAGUA